GUGGAUUAGUGGCGAACGGGUUGGGCAAUCUGCCCUGCACUCUGGGACAAGCCCUGGAAACGGGGUCUAUUAGCGGAUAUGACACGGCAUCGCAUGGUCUCCGUGUGGAAAGCUCCGGCGGUGCAGGAUGAGCCCGCGGGCUAUCAGCUUGUUGGUGGGGUGAUGGCCUACCAAGGCGACGACGGGUAGCCGGCCUGAGAGGGCGUGGGACUGAGACACGGCGCAGACUCCUACGGGAGGCAGCAGUGGGGAAUAUUGCACAAUGGGCGCAAGCCUGAUGCAGCGACGCCGCGUGAGGGAUGACGGCCUUUGAAAACCUCUUUCAGCAGGGAAGAAGCGAGAGUGACGGCACCUGCAGAAGAAGCACCGGCUAACUACGUGCCACGCGGUAAUACGUAGGGUGCGAGCGUUGUCCGGAAUAAUUGGGAAGAGCUCGUAGGCGGCUUGUCGCGUCGGAUGUGAAAGCCCGCUUAACCCCGGGUCUGCAUUCGAUACGGGCAGGCUAGAGUUCGGCAGGGGAGAUUGGAAUUCCUGGUGUAGCGGUGAAAUGCGCAGAUAUCAGGAGGAACACCGGUGCGGAUCUCACUGACGCUGAGGAGCGAAAGCGUGGGGAGCGCACAGGAUUAGAUACCCUGGUAGUCCACGCCGUAAACGUUGGGCACUAGGC
RNAcentral lists this ribosomal RNA (667 nucleotides) under Streptomyces albus. Its description in RNAcentral is "bacterial SSU rRNA". It matches the Rfam family "Bacterial small subunit ribosomal RNA", at positions 87 to 821 of the family's 1533-position model. The record is from RNAcentral. Lineage: Bacteria; Bacillati; Actinomycetota; Actinomycetes; Kitasatosporales; Streptomycetaceae.